GCCCCCAUAGCUCAGUUGGUAGAGCGCGGCACUAGUAUCGGAUCACGUGAUCUGGACAUGCCGAGGUCUACGGUUCAACUCCGUAUGUGGGCA
This is a transfer RNA of Pseudogymnoascus sp. WSF 3629, 93 nucleotides long. It matches the Rfam family "tRNA". From Rfam's summary of the family: Transfer RNA (tRNA) molecules are approximately 80 nucleotides in length. Their secondary structure includes four short double-helical elements and three loops (D, anti-codon, and T loops). Lineage: Eukaryota; Fungi; Ascomycota; Leotiomycetes; Thelebolales; Thelebolaceae. The record is from Rfam.